CCUACGGGAGGCAGCAGUGGGGAAUAUUGGACAAUGGGCGCAAGCCUGAUCCAGCCAUGCCGCGUGUGUGAAGAAGGCCUUAGGGUUGUAAAGCACUUUCAGUGGGGAGGAAGGCCUUAAGGUUAAUAGCCUUGAGGAUUGACGUUACCUACAGAAGAAGCACCGGCUAACUCCGUGCCAGCAGCCGCGGUAAUACGGAGGGUGCGAGCGUUAAUCGGAAUUACUGGGCGUAAAGCGCGCGUAGGCGGUUAGUUAAGCUGGAUGUGAAAGCCCUGGGCUCAACCUGGGAACUGCAUUCAGAACUGGCUGGCUAGAGUACGAGAGAGGGUAGUGGAAUUUCCUGUGUAGCGGUGAAAUGCGUAGAUAUAGGAAGGAACAUCAGUGGCGAAGGCGACUGCCUGGCUCGAUACUGACGCUGAGGUGCGAAAGCGUGGGGAGCAAACAGGAU
This 448-nucleotide ribosomal RNA is filed under the name uncultured Gammaproteobacteria bacterium. RNAcentral's name for it is "bacterial SSU rRNA". It matches the Rfam family "Bacterial small subunit ribosomal RNA", at positions 338 to 778 of the family's 1533-position model. The record is from RNAcentral. Lineage: Bacteria; Pseudomonadati; Pseudomonadota; Gammaproteobacteria.